This 440-nucleotide ribosomal RNA is filed under the name uncultured bacterium. RNAcentral describes it as "partial 16S ribosomal RNA". It matches the Rfam family "Bacterial small subunit ribosomal RNA", at positions 338 to 795 of the family's 1533-position model. The record is from RNAcentral.
CCUACGGGGGGCAGCAGUAGGGAAUAUUGCUCAAUGGGGGAAACCCUGAAGCAGCAACGCCGCGUGGAGGAUGAAGGUUUUCGGAUUGUAAACUCCUUUUGUUAGAGAAGAGAAUGACGGUAUCUAACGAAUAAGCACCGGCUAACUCCGUGCCAGCAGCCGCGGUAAUACGGAGGGGGCAAGCGUUACUCGGAAUCACUGGGCGUAAAGAGGGCGUAGGCGGGAUAGCAAGUCAGAUGUGAAAUCCUAUGGCUUAACCAUAGAACUGCAUUUGAAACUGUUAUUCUAGAGUAUGGGAGAGGUAGGUGGAAUUCUUGGUGUAGGGGUCCAAUCCGUAGAGAUCAAGAGGAAUACUCAUUGCGAAGGCGACCUGCUAGACCAUAACUGACGCUGAUGCGCGAAAGCGUGGGGAGCAAACAGGAUUAGAUACCCGGGUAGUC